GACGAACGCUGGCGGCGUGCCUAAUACAUGCAAGUGGGACGCAAGGACACACACUGUGCUUGCACACCGUGUUUUCUUGAGUCGCGAACGGGUGAGUAACGCGUAGGUAACCUGCCUAUUAGCGGGGGAUAACUAUUGGAAACGAUAGCUAAUACCGCAUAAUAUUAAUUAUUGCAUGAUAAUUGAUUGAAAGAUGCAAGCGCAUCACUAGUAGAUGGACCUGCGCUGUAUUAGCUAGUUGGUAAGGUAAGAGCUUACCAAGGCGACGAUACAUAGCCGACCUGAGAGGGUGAUCGGCCACACUGGGACUGAGACACGGCCCAGACUCCUACGGGAGGCAGCAGUAGGGAAUCUUCGGCAAUGGACGAAAGUCUGACCGAGCAACGCCGCGUGAGUGAAGAAGGUUUUCGGAUCGUAAAGCUCUGUUGUAAGUCAAGAACGUGUGUGAGAGUGGAAAGUUCACACAGUGACGGUAGCUUACCAGAAAGGGACGGCUAACUACGUG
This 505-nucleotide ribosomal RNA is filed under the name uncultured bacterium. RNAcentral's name for it is "partial 16S ribosomal RNA". It matches the Rfam family "Bacterial small subunit ribosomal RNA", at positions 28 to 507 of the family's 1533-position model. The record is from RNAcentral.